This 115-nucleotide ribosomal RNA is filed under the name Rickettsia sp. The record is from RNAcentral. Lineage: Bacteria; Pseudomonadati; Pseudomonadota; Alphaproteobacteria; Rickettsiales; Rickettsiaceae.
CUUGAUAAUUAUGGUGCGAGAGGAAACACGCGAUCCCAUUCCGAACUCGAAAGUUAAGCCUCGUGACGCUGAUGGUACUAUGCUUUGUUGCAUGGGAGAGUAAGUUUUGUCAAGC